GAGAAACGGCUCGUCCAGUACCCCAUGACUCCGCGGAGGUUUGAUGACCGGCGCGCUUGCUCACAGCAUAGGGUUGGCGGCUGUUCUUAGAAAUGUUGGCGUGGACGAAGUUGACGAUAUCAGGACGGAUAGAAGCUUUCAUGACAUCGGGCAAUGGCACCGUCGUAGAAGAAUCGGUGGCCAUGUCGCCUUCGAGAGUCUGGACGGCGACCAAAGGGCGAGCGGCGGCUGCGGCCAUUUUGGGGCGAGUGAAUGUGGAGAAACUAGGGUUUUU
This 274-nucleotide unclassified non-coding RNA is filed under the name Hevea brasiliensis (rubber tree). Lineage: Eukaryota; Viridiplantae; Streptophyta; Magnoliopsida; Malpighiales; Euphorbiaceae. The record is from RNAcentral.